CCCAUGCAUAACCUGCCAAAGGCCAAUAUUUGAUCUCCUAGUACUGUGGUUUCCAUCAUUUACAAAGACAUAGGCCUGGCAAGGCCAAAAGGUCAAGUAUGACAAGAAGAGUGUGUUUUAGCAUAGCAACCUAGAGUGCACAGACUACAAAUGGGAGUGGCACUAGACAAGACUAUAACCAACACCAGGGCUACUGCCAAAGUAAGCUCACACAGCACAUACAUGCACAGAGAAUCAAUUUGUUAGUUUUCAAGAAAAACCUGUGGAGGGAAACCCUGGGUAUGAAUUUGCUCUUUUCAUUCAAGAAUGGAUAAAGGAAAAGAAAGAUACUCCAGGGGAAGUAAGGUUAUAAUGAACUCUCCUGUAAAAGACACCCAGAAGAAGAGCAGCA
Megalops cyprinoides (Indo-Pacific tarpon) is the source of this 391-nucleotide long non-coding RNA. RefSeq lists it as uncharacterized. The record is from RefSeq and is a predicted model, not a curated record. The transcript has 3 exons. Lineage: Eukaryota; Metazoa; Chordata; Actinopteri; Elopiformes; Megalopidae.